Non-coding RNA from Ceratotherium simum simum (southern white rhinoceros), 160 nucleotides. Lineage: Eukaryota; Metazoa; Chordata; Mammalia; Perissodactyla; Rhinocerotidae. The record is from RefSeq and is a predicted model, not a curated record.
GGACGUGUCCCUCAAAUGUCAUUCCAGAGCCAGCUCAGCAGAAGACCAAGCAGAAGUAAUGUGGUCCACAACCAAACCCUUGAGGAGCCGUCCACUGGAUGCUGAAUCCCCUCUCCCACUCUGCUCACGCAUCCCGCUUACAGUUAGCAUGCGGUCAGCC